UAUACAGCGGGUUUGGCUCGAAAUUACUCCUGUGCAUUUCAUACCGCGCGCUUUCAAAGGACGUCUCGUGUGGCCACGAGGAACGGGAGAAACAGGGAUAAGGAGAGACGCAUUCACUCACAACAGUCUCAGCAAUUUCACGUGCUCGAGCUUUCACCGUUUGAAGUUUAACGUUUUUAUCUGAAAAUGAAAAUAAUAGCGGCGCCGAGGAGAGCUGUGCUCAGUCGAGUCGGCGGGACGAGCAUCCUCGCACGGACCAGAGUCUGGCGAGGAGGACAGAGACUUUGGUUUUUUUGAGUAUCUGGGAUCCUCGCGGUGAGGAUAGAUGGAGAGAAGGAGAUUGGAUGUAGGACCUGACCCCAUUCUGAAGGAGGGACCAAGUGGCCACACACACACACACACACACACACUCACGCACAUGCAAGCACAGGCGCUACACACACAC
Molecule: long non-coding RNA, 445 nt
Organism: Electrophorus electricus (electric eel)
Lineage: Eukaryota; Metazoa; Chordata; Actinopteri; Gymnotiformes; Gymnotidae
Source: RefSeq, a predicted model, not a curated record